UACGAAGGGGGCGAGCGUUGUUCGGAAUCACUGGGCGUAAAGGGCGCGUAGGCGGCCCUCCUUGUCGCGUGUGAAAGCCCCGGGCUCAACCUGGGAACGGCGCGCGAGACGGGGGGGCUGGAGUUCGGGAGAGGAGCGUGGAAUUCCCAGUGUAGAGGUGAAAUUCGUAGAUAUCGGGAGGAACACCAGCGGCGAAGGCGGCUUCCUGGUCCAUUACUGACGUUCAGGCACGAAAGCGUGGGGAGCGAACAGG
Molecule: ribosomal RNA, 253 nt
Filed under: uncultured bacterium
Lineage: Bacteria
Description: partial 16S ribosomal RNA
Rfam family: Bacterial small subunit ribosomal RNA
Source: RNAcentral